CUUUAUUAAAAAUGCUAUUCUAAUUGACAUAUUAACAUGUGAAAAAAGCCAUUAAGUUUAAAUGUACAUGUAUAUACAAAAGUUUAGUAGAAACUGUUUGUAUACCCAAGAAUGUACUAAAAAAUUAAUGGAAAGAGUUAACAUAGAGAAACUACUAAAUUCAGAUACAAAUUGUAACCAGAAACGGAAACACGUAAACUCUUGAAAUCAAGUUGGUUUUAUGGAAAAAUUUAGUGAAACGGCUAGGAAACUGGAUCAGUAAAAAUUAAUAUCCGUUUGCGCGAGGAUUAUAGAAUCAAGCAAAUCAGACAUCACAUGAUAAAUUCAAUGAUGAUAAUUCAAUGAAAAUGAAUUAAUGAAAAUUUUCAAUUAACGAAACAUUUGGCAAUGCUUUAUGUGUACUUAUGAGUGUAAAAGUUCCUAUCGGAAUUAAUUUAAAAUUUGGUCUUUUCAUGUCAUAUUGGAAAUGUCUAAUAGAAACAGAUAAGAAACCAAGUUCAAUUAUUAAUUAUAAUUAAUAAAAAUAAUGCAUUGUUAUGUGCAAUAUGUACAUAUAAGAGAAAUUGAAUUAUGAAAACCAAAACCGCUUGGGUGCUGUGUAUUAUAACACUUCUCCUUAGGCGACUGGCAAAAAUUAACUUAACGAGUUCAACAUUGUCGCACGUCGAUUUUUAAUGUGCCACGUGAAGGUGUCUAAAAAUGGAUAUCACAUAGAAUAACGUGACAAAAAAUAUUUUAUGAAUCCUGGUAAGGGGCAGACUAGACGAAUUAACCCUUUAUUUAUUCAUUAGAAUACCUUUGGAAUAUUCCGAACAUUUGGAAAGAUUGACGAAACGUGUAAUUAAAGUAACCAAUCCAUACAUUCAUACAUAUGCAACAAAUAUUGAAUUGCAUACAUACAUUUACCCUACCUAUUUCUUUAUAUUAAUCACAAAUUGACGGUGGUAAGACGCAUUUAUUUAAGUUGAAUUUAAUUUUUACAAAAAUACAAUGGACAAAUAAGCAUAGAAAAUAAUAUAUACGACAAUAUCACUCUAGAUGACUUUAAUUGUCUAUAAGUUCCAUUUAUACGACGUAUAUAUUUUCGUAUUUUGAGCUUUCUGGAUUCUGUCGACAAAUGAAGUCUCCUUUGAAUAGUAGUUGCAAAAAAUUUAAUUAAUUUUGCCAUCGUCGCUAAAUUUUUUAAUUCAAUACGACACAGUUUUGUCAUUUUCUUGGUUGUAAGCUCUCGAGGCACCCAUUUUGCACAGAGAUUUCCCUUACUCAACUAUUCAUAAACGAUACUUAUGUAUGUUGAUAACGAUAUAUGAUAAAACAUUCCUUUGACAUCUUUAAAACGUUAGCUAUUCGAUUAAAUUUAUUUUACCGUCAUUCCAAAUCAUGAUGUGUAUUGCAUGGAUGACAUGAUACGAAAUUUUUUGAUUCGAGAGAGAGCUGUCAAAACCCACAUGUUUUUAAAAAUAUUUGUCGAUCAUGCCACCGUCGAGAGAAAAUGGAUAAAGAAGUAUUUUAAAAAUAACUUUUGGGCAUUUUGCAUUUCGAUAUUUCCGAGUAAACCUAUAUCACGCAUAUAGAGCCAACACAAAUAAAAAAAACUAUAUCAAAGAAACAAUACAACUCAUAAUAAUAUAUCAUGAUUUUAUGAUUAACGUUUUAAAUGCAAAUAUUUCGAAUUUAUAACAAAGAUAGCAAACCAAAUUUAAUUGUACGUUAUUCAAAAGUAUUUCUGCCGUUCCUUGAAAUUUCGUUUCGCACUGUUUUUGUCAGAUACUUUUAGCGGGUUAAUUUCUCGCAACCCGCCUUUUUUGAAAUUAGCUGUUCAAAACUCCUUAAUCUCCAUAAUCAGGAAAAAAAAAUGAGAUAAAAAUUAGAGAAAAUGAGAGAGUCUCGUUUCAUGUCAUCCUUGGUGGAUUGUUUUGUGUUCACCCAUAUCCAUUUAUUCUGGAACUCCACUGCGUUCAUCGUAUUCACUGCUUUACCUAAUUUAAGGCCCGGACUAUACCAAUCAUACCAACUUGUCAGCCUUUUCCAUAAUUUCAAAAAACGCGGUUGUUUUUUACUUUCUUUAGCUACAGGAUUUUAGCGUUUAUAUUUCUGAAAUAUGUUUUAAACUAAUUAAAUAUCAACAACACAAAACAUUUUAUAUAAAAUUUUAUUGUGAAUACGUAAUACUGAAAGUAAAGGUUUACACACUGUGCAUAUUGGUUUUGAAUAUGUUUUCAUAAUUUUACUAUAAGUUAUUAAAGCUGUCAGUUUUCAAUAUCCUAGUUUUUUAUAUUUACAUCAUAAUAUUUCACAAAAUAAAGUAACUCGUAUUUACAUUACUAAUUCUUAUAUAUUUAAAAGUUACAAUAAAUUUGCUAGUAUUCAAAUUUAUACGCCGAUUAAAAUUUUCUGUAACAUAAUAUUCUAUUCAACUUUAUAUUUUGUGAUUUGACAUUCCUGGUGGAUUCUAAUAUACAUUGUCUAAGUAUUUCAUUUCCGCUCAACUAUUUUCUUCUACAAUCUAAUAUAUUACUGGAAUACUAAAAGCUAUUCCAGUAUAACUUCAGAAAAUAAUCUUACAAAUUUCUACUGAUUUAAAAUUAAAAUAUAUUUUUAUAAAUACAAUAUAUUUGGCUCACUUGACAAUAAUUUUAUCAUACAAACAUGUAAUUAGUAUCUAUGCAUAAACGUAUGUAAAUACUUUCAACUAAAAUCAUCGUAAUUAUUUUUAAUUGGCAUCUCAAUGGUUAUUGGUUCUGAUACAGAGCCACUUUUGUCAAUUUCAUUUGGCACUAACAGCUUUAUUAUAUCUAAUAAUCAUAUACAUAAUGUAUUUUCUUUUACUUUCGGUUGCGUAAUAUAUAUAUAUAUAUAUAAUUCCAAAAUAGAGGUAAUCAAAAAGCGUAGUAAAUUAUUCGGCAUCAUUACUACAAAUUUCGCUAAUUCUAUAAUAUUAUUUAAUAAUACAAUUAUUUGCUUUGUACUACAUAAUUAAAAUCUAAAAGUAGUUACAUUGUUUUUUGUUAACAAUCAAAAUAAUUACAUUCAAAUAUAUGAAUGUGUGUAUAUAAAUAUUUCAUUGAGCUUCAAGUAAAGUACCUAACAUACUAAUUAACCGCUGAAAUUAUAGGACUACAUGUGAACUAUUACAUUGCUUUAUGGAUGUAUACAUGUGAAUAAGUACACAAAAAUGAUUAGCAUUUUAUUUUCGUAUAGAUUAUAGAACUUAGAUUUUCCUCUUUUUGUUUGAGAAUUUGUUUCCUUAAUUCGGAUUUUAUUGGUUUAUGUUAUUUCUCUAAUAUUAAAACUGUGUUUGUGAAACAAUUAGUAUUGUAUAAACUUUCUUCAACUAACAUACUAAUUAUUUCAAAUUAGUUUUACAAAUUAUGAGGAAAAUACAUAGACGGAAAGUUAGAGAAUUUUAAGCAUAUACAUAUGUAUGUAUGCAAUAAGAUGCAAUUACGAGUGUAACAUUUUCAUGAAGUUCACAAGUCGUUCUAUAUCUUUAGUUUGCUCUUGAAAAAAACAGUUAUAAAAUCAAACCUUUGAAUGCAAUCACUUAUUUAAAUAUAUAAUAAAUGUACAUAUUCAUUUUCAUUGUUUUUCAAUUUUCAAUGCUACACUUGCUACCAAGUUCGCUUUUAUAUAAAAUAUAAAACGUAUUGAUAGAGUUGUACAUAUGUACAUAUGUAUGUAUAUUAUAUACCUUCUAGUGUUAUAUAAUGAUGAGAAUGUAAUGAGAAGAACCGUAAAUAGCGCGACUUGUGAACAUCUUUUUUAUUAUAUUGUAUUGUACUUAUGUUAACUUUUAGUUUCAUUUUUCUCGUUCUACACUGUUAAAUUAUUAAAUCAUAGUAUUAUGUACAUAUAUACUACGUAUAUUUGUUUGUAGAUAAUUUUUUUGUAUAAAAGAAAGGGAUGUCGUAUAAGGCAUUAUGUACAUUGUUGACUAUUUCACUUUUUAAUUAAACUAUUCCCAAAUCCACAUAUGUAUAUACGUUUUAACAUUUGUCAUUGGGAUAUAGAAGUUGCAAUUAAAUUUUCGACUGCAUUUUUUCUUUAAUUGAUUCGAUCAUUAAUUUCACAAUAAGUUCGGAUACUAUAAAUCAAGAAUGUUAGAGUACAAGAUUACUUUUGAGUUAAGAAGAAGAAGCAUAGAACAUCAUGUAAAAUGUAAACAAAAACGUAAACACUUUUGUUAAUUUGGGAAAUAGACUUAAUUUAUUAGUUUGUAGUGGAAAAAUGUUACUGAAAUUAAUAGAAUAAUGUUACAGGAAAAUACUUUCCCUUAUCAUGAGCGUUUUUUACUAAAUAAAUUAGCAAAAUUGACAUUGCUCUUUAAACAA
This is a long non-coding RNA of Bactrocera oleae (olive fruit fly), 4331 nucleotides long. RefSeq lists it as uncharacterized. NCBI's taxonomy places the organism in Eukaryota, Metazoa, Arthropoda, Insecta, Diptera, Tephritidae. The record is from RefSeq and is a predicted model, not a curated record.